AUUGAACGCUGGCGGCAUGCCUUACACAUGCAAGUCGAACGGUAACGGGCCUUCGGGUGCCGACGAGUGGCGAACGGGUGAGUAAUACAUCGGAACGUGCCCGAUCGUGGGGGAUAACGAGGCGAAAGCUUUGCUAAUACCGCAUACGAUCUACGGAUGAAAGCAGGGGACCGCAAGGCCUUGCGCGGACGGAGCGGCCGAUGGCAGAUUAGGUAGUUGGUGGGAUAAAAGCUUACCAAGCCGACGAUCUGUAGCUGGUCUGAGAGGAUGAUCAGCCACACUGGGACUGAGACACGGACCAGACUCCUACGGGAGGCAGCAGUGGGGAAUUUUGGACAAUGGGCGCAAGCCUGAUCCAGCCAUGCCGCGUGCAGGAUGAAGGCCUUCGGGUUGUAAACUGCUUUUGUACGGAACGAAAAGCCUUCUUUUAAUACAGGAGGGUCAUGACGGUACCGUAAGAAUAAGCACCGGCUAACUACGUG
This 482-nucleotide ribosomal RNA is filed under the name uncultured bacterium. RNAcentral describes it as "partial 16S ribosomal RNA". It matches the Rfam family "Bacterial small subunit ribosomal RNA", at positions 30 to 507 of the family's 1533-position model. The record is from RNAcentral.